CACGCCGUAAACGAUGAGUGCUAAGUGUUGGAGGGUUUCCGCCCUUCAGUGCUGCAGUAAACGCAUUAAGCACUCCGCCUGGGGAGUACGGCCGCAAGGCUGAAACUCAAAGGAAUUGACGGGGGCCCGCACAAGCGGUGGAGCAUGUGGUUUAAUUCGAAGCAACGCGAAGAACCUUACCAGGUCUUGACAUCCUCUGACCGCUCUGGAGACAGAGUCUUCCCUUCGGGGACAAAGAGACAGGUGG
This 247-nucleotide ribosomal RNA is filed under the name uncultured Vagococcus sp. Its description in RNAcentral is "partial 16S ribosomal RNA". It matches the Rfam family "Bacterial small subunit ribosomal RNA", at positions 796 to 1041 of the family's 1533-position model. The record is from RNAcentral. Lineage: Bacteria; Bacillati; Bacillota; Bacilli; Lactobacillales; Enterococcaceae.